This 279-nucleotide ribosomal RNA is filed under the name uncultured bacterium. RNAcentral describes it as "partial 16S ribosomal RNA". It matches the Rfam family "Bacterial small subunit ribosomal RNA", at positions 506 to 784 of the family's 1533-position model. The record is from RNAcentral.
UGCCAGCAGCCGCGGUAAUACGAGGGGUGCAAGCGUUAUUCGGAAUCAUUGGGCGUAAAGGGUGUGUAGGCGGCGUGUUAAGUUUAUUGUUCAAUUCUUCGGCCUAACCGAAGGUAAGCGAUGAAAACUGGCAUGCUAGAGGAUGGAAGAGAGAAGUGGAAUUCUCGGAGUAGCGGUUAAAUGCGUAGAUCUCGAGAGGAACACCGAUGGCGAAGGCAGCUUCUUGGUCCAUUUCUGACGCUGAGACACGAAAGCGUGGGGAGCAAACAGGAUUAGAUA